UAAUUGCGAGGAAUCGAGCAAAUCGGCAUUCAUUUGGAUAUCUUCAUCAUUCUCGAAAUACAUCGAAAAUACACUUUUGGGUUUUAAAACAUUUUUAAAAAAUUUAUUACCUAAAAAUUCAAUUCCUUCACACUUUUCGUACAGUCCGUUUUAACGAAUCAAAACGAAAUUGGCAUUUCGAAUACAAAUAGCAAUGAUCCGUUCUUACUGUUAAUAAUAAAUAAUUCAUUUUCAUUUAAAUUAAAUCAUUGAAACGAUUAUGACUUAAAUUCAUUACUUGAUUUAGCAUAUAUCGUCCGAUGACGAAAGAGAAGCAAGUACAAGGCUCUCAAACUCCCUCGUCUUUUAACCGUCGCGUCCUCGUUCCGUCGAGGGCUGUGCUGUGUCGGCGCAUGCGCAAACAGCCAAAGCCGUCGCAUCCAGCUUCGUUCCGCAGUCCGAACUCCGAUUUAUCGAACAUAGCGUAUGAAAUCAGCACUGAAUCAGAGAGACCCUGGACCGCUCUGGACAAAGACCUACAUGCAACUUGUUGUGACUGGUCGUGACAGUCACGACUGUCAAGCCAUGUGUUUCGAGAAUAGAGGACAGCACAUUGUUCGAGAAUGUUCUGUAUACUAUACUACGCAGAGCCCGUACAGUAUAGCUAUAGCGGAUAGAGAUGAUUUGAAGAGCGACGAAGGACGAGCAGGAGCAGCGCGAGAGGAAAGGCGGAGAAAGAAAGAGAGAAGCGAUGAGCAGCGCGUGGCCCGAGGUGACAGAAGCACGCGACGCUCCCUCUAGUUCCCCUUCCUGCAGCAGCAAAACUAUCGUAGUAUCGUAGAGCAUCGAUGUGUUGCGUGUGCUGCUUGCCGCUCCGCACCGAUGAGCCACCCAGCAGCUGCCAGUCACGCCGCGCUGCUCGUUCGGCAUCGCGUUUCCUUUCUCACUCUCGUUCCGGCGAUCCUUCUUAUCAAGCGCUGCCAGUUGAAUCGCGCAACCAACCACCGAGUGUCCUCCGAUCCCGUGACAGUUCGGGAGCUCUGGAGUUUGGCCGGCAGCGCCGUCGAAUCCUUCGAGAUUGAAAAUGGAGCCACUGUUGCCGGGAGUCUAGUCGAGUGUUCGCGAAGCUGUCGGGCUGCAUGACGUAUUGGAUAUCAGGGGACGCGCUGCAUCGAUUCGCCAGCCGUUUUCUGUAAUUCGUGAACAACGUACGAUGUAGUUCGGUUGAAAUGGUGAAACGGUUUAUUGAAAAUAACAUCGGAAGCCUCGUCGACGCUCAGCGCGACGCGUCCACAUACUACGUGUGUACGUGACUGAUCGUCAUGCGCAACGGCUACAACGACUACGACGACGCUUUCGCGACGAGUGCGCACGUUUAGGACGACUAGGCAGAUAUUCCGGAACGGACUGAAUGGAUUCGGUAAAGCCUCGAAAUGCCUGCCAGGCCGGAAGUCGAGCCUCCAAGUCGAGCUGCCGGCCUCCGGGUGCGAUCUUCCUGGUGCUGCUGCUGUGCUUCCUGGUGGGAUUCCUUCCUGCCGGUCGAGCCUCUUACAGCGUCGGCGUUGGAAUUGCCGAUACCACGGGCCCGGUAGCGGAAGUCGUAUUUAUGGGAUAUGCCAAGAUGGAUCAAAAGGGCACGGGACUCCAUCUUCGGACAUUUUCAAGGGCCUUCGUGAUCGACGAUGGCGAAGAGAGAUUCGUGUUUGUCAGCGUGGACAGCGCAAUGAUCGGGCACGGAGUGCGAGCGGCUGUUCUUCGGAAGCUGCAGACGCGUUUCGAGAAAAUCUACACCGAGAAAAAUGUUAUGAUAAGCGGCACGCACACGCACUCCAGUCCCGGUGGCUUCAUGAUGGACGUUCUCUUCGAUCUCACCACCUUUGGAUUCGUGCAGGAGUCCUUCAAUGCUCUCGUUAACGGAAUUACAAAGAGCAUCGAAAGGGCCCAUGACGCUGUGCUGCCAGCGAGGAUCUUCCUGACGCAGGGUCAAGUCCUGGACGCCAACAUCAACAGAAGUCCUUUGGCAUACAUGAACAACCCAAAGGCUGAAAGAGACAAGUACGAGCAUAACGUGGAUAAGACUAUCACUCAACUUCAGUUUAUCGGCGUGGGUGAUCGACCUCUGGGGGCAAUUAAUUGGUUCGCCGUUCAUCCUACCAGCAUGAACAACACCAACAGGCUCGUAUCGAGCGAUAACGUUGGCUACGCGUCUGUGCUCUUCGAAAAAGUCAUGAACAAAGAUGCCAUGAUAGGCAAAGGUCCAUUUGUCGCUGCUUUCGCAUCCAGCAAUCUGGGCGACGUGUCGCCAAAUACCCGAGGACCGAAAUGCGAAUUCUCUGGCAAGGAUUGUUCAGCCCAGUACACGUGCCCCGGGAAACACGAGAUGUGCUUCGCCUCUGGCCCCGGGAGGAACAUGUUUGAGAGCACAAGUAUAAUUGCCCGGAAACUCUUCCAGGAGUCAAUGAGACUCUGGCAGGGUGGCAACGUCACCGAAGUCCUGGGACCAAUUCGCCUGGUGCACCGGUUUGUCGACAUGCCCAAGCAGACUGCUGAAUUUUUGAAUGAAACCACCGGAAGUAAGGCAGAGGUACAUGGCUGCCAACCGGCGAUGGGCUACAGCUUCGCAGCUGGCACGACAGAUGGCCCGGGCUCUUUCGCCUUCGAACAGGGCACGACGACGUCAAAUCCUCUUUGGAACACCGUGAGAAACUUUCUGGCAGAGCCAACUCCGGAGGACGUUCGCUGCCAUGGCGCCAAACCAAUAUUAUUGGCAACCGGUCGGAUGGUAUUGCCAUACGAAUGGCAGCCUAAGGUGGUGUCAACUCACGUAGCCGUUUUGGGAAAUGUCAUUAUUGCUGGCGUGCCCGGUGAAUUCACUACGAUGUCCGGCAGGAGACUACGUGACGUCAUCAGGAAAGCAGCCAACGACGCUCUACAGGAAGCCGACCUUGCCGUCAUAGUGGCAGGUUUGUGUAACACCUACAGUGACUACAUCACUACACCCGAGGAGUAUCAGAUUCAACGAUACGAAGGGGCCUCGACUAUCUAUGGCCCUCACACGCUUACCAUUUACUUGAAACAGUAUCAAGAACUCGUUACGGCCGCCAUUAUGAAAAAGGAUCUGGAGCCGGGCCCGUUGCCUCCGGACCUAUUGAAAGAGAACCUGAUCAGCCUGGUGACACCGGUGCUCUACGACACCCCUAAGUGGCGUCACGACUUUGGCGAUUGUCUCCAGCAGCCGCCCGCUAAAGUAUUUCCAGGUGACGUCGUCACUGUUCAAUUUGAAGUACUACUCGACUGUUCCCGAUUAUUCGGCUGGACACGCAUAUCGUGCAAAGGCACGGCGCUAACGAUAAGCAGUCAAGAUUUUACCCCACGUUCGUUCCUCUCGAGGAUUAACGGGAUGGAUGAUUUUACACAGGGCCCGAUUUUGCUAUGGCUGCGCGUUCAUCAGGAACGCAGCUUGUGGAUUCAGCUGCGCUCCGUUUGGCGGGUCCUUCGCCUACAGUUAGUCAGCUUGAAUCGAACGAGAGUGCCAGACUUUGGCUUUUUGUGGCAAUCCACAAUAUAUGGCGAAAUAUGAAUGCUAAAAGGAUUCUUCGUAAAAUGAAGUCGCACUGAAAAUAUUUCGGAAAUAGGAUUUCGACGUGGAUUAAAAAAAAAUAAUGCUGUUACUACACGAUUCAAAAUAGAUUAUAUAUGUCGAGUUAGAUUUCACCUGACGCAUGGGGACACGGGAUAUUCUUACCCGAUUAAGGGUGGAUUUGGUUCAGCUGCUUCUAGUCCAUUUGCACGUUAUAUGUAUGACUUGGUUACGUAAAAGUCGUUCAGUUACGGCACAGGAGAUCGGGGUGUUUAUAUAGUUUCCGGGCAUCCCAGGAACAAUCUCAUGACCGGAAGUACCUACCUGACUGUUGAGAGGCUAAACGACGAUGAGACGUGGACCAGCGUCGCGACGGAUGCUGAUUGGGAGACGACGUACGU
Molecule: RNA transcript, 3960 nt
Organism: Cephus cinctus (wheat stem sawfly)
Lineage: Eukaryota; Metazoa; Arthropoda; Insecta; Hymenoptera; Cephidae
Gene: CDase
Gene name: neutral ceramidase
Exons: 14
Source: RefSeq, a predicted model, not a curated record